This 304-nucleotide long non-coding RNA is filed under the name Musa acuminata (dwarf banana). Its description in RNAcentral is "long non-coding RNA (MACU_LNC009121)". The record is from RNAcentral. Lineage: Eukaryota; Viridiplantae; Streptophyta; Magnoliopsida; Zingiberales; Musaceae.
ACAGCGCUAAAGGAAGAAUACCAGAAGUCACUACGUGGGCCGUCCAAGAACAAGAACCGAUGAUUUGCUUUGCGCCUCUCUUUCUAUUGGGGAAUACCCGCGAAACCUAUUCUUGCACUCCUAUUUGCUUUGCGCCUCUCUUUCUAUUGGGGCAAACUCACCUAUUCUCUUCGGGAACUCCUAUCAUUUAGGAUUCUUUCCUGUGAGCCAAUUGCAUAUUAUUUAUACUCCCGGAAUUGCUUUAUCGGAGCCGAGCCAGGGAUAGCCGUUAGUCGCCGCUGUUGCUUCAUUCCAUUCUUCCAAG